This 380-nucleotide ribosomal RNA is filed under the name uncultured Pseudomonas sp. RNAcentral describes it as "bacterial SSU rRNA". It matches the Rfam family "Bacterial small subunit ribosomal RNA", at positions 1004 to 1382 of the family's 1533-position model. The record is from RNAcentral. Lineage: Bacteria; Pseudomonadati; Pseudomonadota; Gammaproteobacteria; Pseudomonadales; Pseudomonadaceae.
AGAUGGAUUGGUGCCUUCGGGAACUCUGACACAGGUGCUGCAUGGCUGUCGUCAGCUCGUGGUCGUGAGAUGUUGGGUUAAGUCCCGUAACGAGCGCAACCCUUGUCCUUAGUUACCAGCACGUUAUGGUGGGCACUCUAAGGAGACUGCCGGUGACAAGCCGGAGGAAGGUGGGGAUGACGUCAAGUCAUCAUGGCCCUUACGGCCUGGGCUACACACGUGCUACAAUGGUCGGUACAAAGGGUUGCCAAGCCGCGAGGUGGAGCUAAUCCCAUAAAACCGAUCGUAGUCCGGAUCGCAGUCUGCAACUCGACUGCGUGAAGUCGGAAUCGCUAGUAAUCGUGAAUCAGAAUGUCACGGUGAAUACGUUCCCGGGCCUU